This 792-nucleotide ribosomal RNA is filed under the name Variovorax paradoxus. RNAcentral describes it as "bacterial SSU rRNA". It matches the Rfam family "Bacterial small subunit ribosomal RNA", at positions 56 to 839 of the family's 1533-position model. Lineage: Bacteria; Pseudomonadati; Pseudomonadota; Betaproteobacteria; Burkholderiales; Comamonadaceae. The record is from RNAcentral.
UGCAAGUCGAACGGCAGCGCGGGAGCAAUCCUGGCGGCGAGUGGCGAACGGGUGAGUAAUACAUCGGAACGUGCCCAAUCGUGGGGGAUAACGCAGCGAAAGCUGUGCUAAUACCGCAUACGAUCUACGGAUGAAAGCAGGGGAUCGCAAGACCUUGCGCGAAUGGAGCGGCCGAUGGCAGAUUAGGUAGUUGGUGAGGUAAAGGCUCACCAAGCCUUCGAUCUGUAGCUGGUCUGAGAGGACGACCAGCCACACUGGGACUGAGACACGGCCCAGACUCCUACGGGAGGCAGCAGUGGGGAAUUUUGGACAAUGGGCGAAAGCCUGAUCCAGCCAUGCCGCGUGCAGGAUGAAGGCCUUCGGGUUGUAAACUGCUUUUGUACGGAACGAAACGGCCUUUUCUAAUAAAGAGGGCUAAUGACGGUACCGUAAGAAUAAGCACCGGCUAACUACGUGCCAGCAGCCGCGGUAAUACGUAGGGUGCAAGCGUUAAUCGGAAUUACUGGGCGUAAAGCGUGCGCAGGCGGUAAUGUAAGACAGUUGUGAAAUCCCCGGGCUCAACCUGGGAACUGCAUCUGUGACUGCAUUGCUGGAGUACGGUAGAAGGGGGAUGGAAUUCCGCGUGUAGCAGUGAAAUGCGUAGAUAUGCGGAGGAACACCGAUGGCGAAGGCAAUCCCCUGGACCUGUACUGACGCUCAUGCACGAAAAGCGUGGGGGAGCAAACAGGAUUAGAUACCCUGGUAGUCCACGCCCUAAAACGAUGUCAACUGGUUGUUGGGUCUUCACUUGAC